This 253-nucleotide ribosomal RNA is filed under the name uncultured bacterium. RNAcentral's name for it is "partial 16S ribosomal RNA". It matches the Rfam family "Bacterial small subunit ribosomal RNA", at positions 524 to 776 of the family's 1533-position model. The record is from RNAcentral.
UACAGAGGUCUCAAGCGUUGUUCGGAGUUACUGGGCGUAAAGGGUGCGUAGGCGGCUUUUUAAGUUUGGUGUGAAAUCUCCCGGCUCAACUGGGAGGGUGCGCCGAAUACUGAGAGGCUAGAGUGCGGGAGAGGAAAGUGGAAUUCCUGGUGUAGCGGUGAAAUGCGUAGAUAUCAGGAGGAACACCGGUGGUGUAAACGGCUUUCUGGACCGUAGCUGACGCUGAGACACGAAAGCGUGGGUAGCAAACAGG